GACGAACGCUGGCGGCGUGCUUAACACAUGCAAGUCGAACGGUGAAGCUCCAGCUUGCUGGAGUGGAUCAGUGGCGAACGGGUGAGUAACACGUGAGCAACCUGCCCCUGACUCUGGAAUAAGCGCUGGAAACGGCGUCUAAUACUGGAUACGAGAAGGGUCCGCAUGGGCACUUUCUGGAAAGUUUUUCGGUUGGGGAUGGGCUCGCGGCCUAUCAGCUUGUUGGUGAGGUAAUGGCUCACCAAGGCGACGACGGGUAGCCGGCCUGAGAGGGCGACCGGCCACACUGGGACUGAGACACGGCCCAGACUCCUACGGGAGGCAGCAGUGGGGAAUAUUGCACAACGGGCGAAAGCCUGAUGCAGCGACGCCGCGUGAGGGAUGACGGCCUUCGGGUUGUAAACCUCUUUCAGCAGGGAAGAAGCGAAAGUGACGGUACCUGCAGAAGAAGCACCGGCUAACUACGUG
RNAcentral lists this ribosomal RNA (468 nucleotides) under uncultured bacterium. RNAcentral's name for it is "partial 16S ribosomal RNA". It matches the Rfam family "Bacterial small subunit ribosomal RNA", at positions 28 to 507 of the family's 1533-position model. The record is from RNAcentral.